Molecule: ribosomal RNA, 411 nt
Filed under: Psychrobacter sp. Asnod3F05
Lineage: Bacteria; Pseudomonadati; Pseudomonadota; Gammaproteobacteria; Moraxellales; Moraxellaceae
Description: bacterial SSU rRNA
Rfam family: Bacterial small subunit ribosomal RNA
Source: RNAcentral
GCCNUGCCGCGUGUGUGAAGAAGGCCUUUUGGUUGUAAAGCACUUUAAGCAGUGAAGAAGACUCUUCGGUUAAUACCCGGGGACGAUGACAUUAGCUGCAGAAUAAGCACCGGCUAACUCUGUGCCAGCAGCCGCGGUAAUACAGAGGGUGCAAGCGUUAAUCGGAAUUACUGGGCGUAAAGCGAGCGUAGGUGGCUUGAUAAGUCAGAUGUGAAAUCCCCGGGCUUAACCUGGGAACUGCAUCUGAAACUGUUAGGCUAGAGUAGGUGAGAGGGAAGUAGAAUUUCAGGUGUAGCGGUGAAAUGCGUAGAGAUCUGAAGGAAUACCGAUGGCGAAGGCAGCUUCCUGGCAUCAUACUGACACUGAGGCUCGAAAGCGUGGGUAGCAAACAGGAUUAGAUACCCNGGUAGU